RNAcentral lists this long non-coding RNA (1124 nucleotides) under Lonchura striata (white-rumped munia). RNAcentral describes it as "domestica (Bengalese finch) lncRNA (ENSLSDG00000007493.1)". Lineage: Eukaryota; Metazoa; Chordata; Aves; Passeriformes; Estrildidae. The record is from RNAcentral.
GCGUGAAGAUUAAUUCAGCUCAAAGGGAAGCUGACUGAUUAAAAAAACUUUGAGUUCCAGGAUUUUAUAAAAGAUAAAUUGCAGAAAGUGGAUACUUGUUCCUUUGCAUCCUUUGAUUGUUUUGUAUAAUCAGUAGGAGCUCCUGAUGGAAGUGAAGGUGGUGAGGUGCUGUGUUCCAUUGUGCUUGCUUUCUUUAGGAAACAGUAGGUUUACAAUUGAAAAGUCAGCUUUGUGUGCCAAACUCUGGUGUGUACAGUGCCAGUUUUUUUUUUUCCUUUGACUCCUUCCUACCUAUUGUCUUUAGAAAUCAUGUUUAAUCUUGUUAGAUGCACAAUGUGUGUUAGGAAGAAAAGAGUGGAAUGAAAAAGGGUCACUUUGGUGUCUGCCACAGGCUGGGCACAGCUCUGUUUGUAAUCAGAGGCUCCCCUGGUGCAGCCUGUGGCUGCUUGGCAGUGGGCUGCUGCGGCUGGCAGGCUGGGUCUGGCCCCAGCAGCUCUCAUCCCCUCGGUGUCUCCGGCUGGAGCUCGCUGAAGAGCAAGCAGGAAUGCUGCUGGGGGCUCCUGCGUGACCUUGGAGUGGCACCAAAGUCCUGGGACGCUGGGAUGGAAGUGUUAGCCCCUGAGAAGAAAAAACAUGAAGAGAAUGAAGAUUUGCAACAGUAUCCUCAGAAGCCUGCAAGCUGUAAGAAAAUGCUUAGGAAUUGCUGCUUGAUAAAGCGAAUUUUUGCCUGGAAAAGUUUGAGCUCUAAAGUGACUUCUAUGAUGAAUGACUCUCAUCCUGCUGCAUCCACUUGAAUAAUGAUGGCGAACUUGGGACACCUCAGUGCACAAUACUGUCAAGUCAAGAAGUCCACAGAAGAGCUAUUAAAAUAGAUACAGCAGAGACUGUGAUUUAAGAGGACUCUUACUUUUAUGACAGUCAAGGAGCAACUGAAGAGAGAUCUGAUGAUGGUCAUCUACUUGUGGCAGCUGUUUAUUAUGCUCUAUCGUAAACAUCUCACUGUUACCUUGUGCUCACCCAUCUGUUUGUUUCUGCCCAUCUGUUAUUGUUUGCCAUGUGCUUAGGUUGUAAAUAUCACUGUUGUUUGAAAUAAAAAGGUUAAUAAUCCUUUGAUUAAAAAAAAA